AUGAUAAUGCUUCAACAUAUGUAUCCAUUAGAAUACAACAAUUGUUUAGAGACUGUAAUAUCAAACAAACAAAUCUUACAAUUCUAUAGGUGUAGCAUUCUAGAACAAUCAUACAAGACUCUAAAGGAAAUGCUCAUAGAACAAAAGGGAUAUAUGGACUCUCCCAAAGAAAAGUCUGACAUAUAUUCUGGGCUAGAAGGCCAAAGAUGAUGCUCCAACAGCUCAGAGAAAUUUUGGAAGCCUUUCUCAGCUGAACAGAUUUCUUUGUCAUUUUUAUGGUUUUGUAAGCCCCUUGCCUAUACCUCCUGGAUACUCAGGAAACUCAGGAAGAGCUAUGUGUGCCUUGGAUGAAUUGAAGAACAGUUUUGAAUAAGCAUUUGGUAGCAGAGAAAUACAUACAUUUAAGAUGUUAUCAUCAUGGAAGCAUUACCUUCAUUGAAAUUCUGUUGAACUGAAUACAACAUCUUUAUUAUUCUGAGGAGGCCAGUGAUUGGCAGGGAAAAAGAACAUCGGAGCUAAGAGUUGCAGGGACAGAGGGAGACAAGAUGGAAGAGGAGAAGAAGGAGCAAGAUGGAGGAUGGCAGGAAGAAGAUCCUGAUCCAGUGUGGUUUUAAAUAGCCACAGUUCCAGGUGGCAUAGUAGGCUGCUUCACAGGCAGUGACUAUGGCUUGCCUUGUGCACUAGCAGGGGCAUGAUCCUUGACAGCUGCAAAUAGUUUAAUUCUGCAGACCUGGAGAGUUUAAGUACAAGAGAGCCCAAGAAGACAUGGGGUGGCUGCUGCUCCUUCCUGCUGCUCUUCCUGUUGCUGCUGCUGCUUCCUGUUGUCACUGUUUGUCAAGUCCUAGUAAGCAAAGAAUUGAGAAGAAGAAAUAGGAUUCAUUGCCAAUGAAGAUUGGACUUGUCCCAAGGCUCUUGAAGCUCCUAAUCAGAACGAAGUAGUCAAAAGAGAUUUAUACCCUCCUUUCCUCUAAUCUUACUUCUUUUCUACCUACUAUUGAGAGUUGGAAAGCAUUAAGUAUUGGAAGGGUGACAAGUAUAGGAACGAAAUAACAUAGUCAAAUAUAUCAACAAAGACCCCUGUUUCAGAUUUCCAACCCCAAUAAACCCGUGCAAAGAACACAGAA
Long non-coding RNA from Mastomys coucha (southern multimammate mouse), 1124 nucleotides. RefSeq lists it as uncharacterized. Lineage: Eukaryota; Metazoa; Chordata; Mammalia; Rodentia; Muridae. The record is from RefSeq and is a predicted model, not a curated record. The transcript has 6 exons.